Molecule: non-coding RNA, 190 nt
Organism: Arachis ipaensis
Lineage: Eukaryota; Viridiplantae; Streptophyta; Magnoliopsida; Fabales; Fabaceae
Source: RefSeq, a predicted model, not a curated record
AUAUAUAUUUAUGAGAAAAAGCUAUGCAUAGACUCUUGGGGAUGCACAUCAAGGGAUAGUCUAAGGUUUUCAAACUUGUCGGGUUGGCUGGAUAACCGACAGAUGAGCCUCAUCAGCCAUAGGACAUGCAUGCAUCAUAUGUAUAUUACUUGAAUUAUUUGCUUGUGCAUUAAUUGGGUGUGCCUAAGUG